UACGACUACAUAUCAGGCAUAUCAAUAAGCGGAGGAAAAGAAACUAACAAGGAUUCCCUUAGUAACGGCGAGUGAAGCGGGAAGAGCUCAAAUUUGAAAUCUUCAAGGUUCUACCUUGACGAAUUGUAGUUUAAAGAAGUGUUUUCUGUUAGAGGAGUAGCAAAAGUUCCUUGGAAUGGGACAUCAUAGAGGGUGAGAAUCCCGUAUUUGGUUAUUCUUUCUAGCUUUGUGAUACACUUUCAAAGAGUCGGAUCGUUUGGGAAUGCAGUCCAAGAUGGGUGGUAAAUUCAUCUAAAGCUAAAUAUUGGCGAGAGACCGAUAGCGAACAAGUACCGUGAGGGAAAGAUGAAAAGAACUUUGAAAAGAGAGUUAAACAGUACGUGAAAUUGUCAAAAGGGAAGCGUUUGACACCAGUGUUGUUUAUUCGAAAAUCAAUUCAAUAGUUUGAAUCAUGCUAGGUAGUAUUGACCUUCAUCAGCUUGCUGCUUUCUUCUCAGAAAUUAUUGAAUGCACUUUUCAGUUAACAAGUCAACAUCAAUUUCUUUUGUUGUAAAAGGGUAAGAGGAAGGUGGCUUGCGCUUCGGCUCACGUGUUUGUAGCCUUUUAUCUCUGCAAUCGGAGAGAUUGAGGUCUGCAGCGUAGAUCCUUCGGGGUUAGAUACAUUGGUGCUAAGCUAUAGCCUUGUAUAGACAACUUGUUGACUAUGCUCAGUCAUGUAGCUUACUCGCUGAUGCUAUUUUACCUACGCUUAGGAUGUUGAUCUACAGAGCGAGAGU
This 776-nucleotide ribosomal RNA is filed under the name uncultured Neocallimastigales. Its description in RNAcentral is "partial large subunit ribosomal RNA". It matches the Rfam family "Eukaryotic large subunit ribosomal RNA", at positions 24 to 640 of the family's 3401-position model. Lineage: Eukaryota; Fungi; Neocallimastigomycota; Neocallimastigomycetes; Neocallimastigales. The record is from RNAcentral.